Molecule: long non-coding RNA, 4398 nt
Organism: Thunnus maccoyii (southern bluefin tuna)
Lineage: Eukaryota; Metazoa; Chordata; Actinopteri; Scombriformes; Scombridae
Exons: 7
Source: RefSeq, a predicted model, not a curated record
GACCUUUUGGUAUUGUAUAAACAAACACAAAAUGAACACUUAAAUAAAGUUAAUAGGGCCAAACACACCACCAUUUGAAUUUCACAAAAUUAUAUUAGAGCACUCACACAAAAAAACAAAACUCUUCAACAAAUCAGUCCAGGUCCAUAAACAAAAAUAGUGCUCCGUUCCGGGUUUUCCUGUUUCUGAAUAUAGUUCAGUUUCAAACAGUCCAGUUCUCAAACAAAAAUAAUCCGCCUCGGGUUUUCCCGGAAUUCCAAACAAAACUAAAAAUAAGGAAGUCAGUUCAGCUUUUCACCGUCCUACCAACCCCAAAAGCCCAGUCAAAAAAGAAAAGAAAAGAUAACGAAAAGAGCACAGUGAAGUCACCCGGCUUUAGCCGACUCACGGUUCAGGGGAAGUGUGGAAACGUGCGUUGUCCGGAGUUGUAAACACGGACGGUUCGGUGUGUUCGUGGAGAUAAGAAGAGAGGCUGCAGUAUCCACGCCUCGAGGGCAACCAAGGUGGAUGUUAACAACGCGGACUGAAACGCGUGCUGAUGGCCAAGGAUAGGCUUACUACGGACAUGGAUGACUCACGAGGGUUUCUCUCCUGCUGUUCACCUGCCGGCGACUCCCGCCAUACUGAAUUAAAUCUCCUGGUACGAAAAACGGAAGAGGCUGGACUCCGAGGGAGUGGCAACGUGGAGCUAACUCACUGGCUGACUGGACUAGUGGGGUGUGGAAGUAGCCUGGAAGAUGGAGGAAACAAAUUGAGAACCUCGGUCAGAGAGAAUGUCCUCAGGUAUUCCCCAUCUGGUGACAAUCUCCUGGAUGAGAAUGCGUGAGAUGGAUUCAGCAGUGGUGUUCCUUAAAGGGAAGAGCUCCACCCAUCUGGAGUAAUAAUCCACAAAAACCAGUAGGUAAACAUUUCUGCUUGAACUCCUGGGGAACGGACCCAUUAAGUCCAUGCCCAACAUUUCCCAGGGACGGCAUACCAGUGUUUGCUGUAGUUUUCCAUCUGGUUUGCGGCUUUCAGGUGGCCAGCAAGGGGGUCUUCAUGGAAUGAUGUCAGAAAGUGGGAACGCAAGCUCUCAGGUGUGAGCCUUGAACUGCCUUCUCAAAAAGAUCUGUCAUGUCUGGUAAUUGAGGUUGUAAAAUCUCCGGAGCAUUUGCCAGGAAGAGGGCAACAUGGUUGCCAGCCCCCUCCCCCUCUGAUGUGCCGGGGUGACACGCUUGAAAAAAGUACCUCCCCGUCUCUCCGCGGAACCAGUAAGUGCCACCUGCCACAUCAAUGUGCAUCCCACUGAAAAACGCAAAAUCCAGUCCCAGUACAACAGAGAAUGCUAGUGCCUGAGGAGACAGCACAACCAUGGGUAUUAACCAGGUCUUCCCAUGCAGGCAGAUCUCCAUAUCUGUCCAUCCAAGAGGAUGCUCCUGUUUCCCAUUAGCCAGGUACAAGGGGACGCCUGACCAUGGGGUAAGUCUGGAUGCAGGUGGUUUAAUGCUCAUCCACAGGUUUUCAUUUAGCAAUGUGUAUGAUGAUCCUGUGUCCAGAAUGGCUGUCCCUUCCCAGGAGCCGAUGGUGAGAGGCACCUUUAACUGCUGUGGUAGCGGACUGCCGAAAGUGGGAGCAGCACUGUGCCUAUAGGCAGGCGUGAAGGAUAGACAGGGGGAAGGUGAUGGGGACUGCUCUACUGAUGGACCAAGAGCACUUGCAGAUGGAUGAGUCAUCCCUCCGGACCCUAAUUGCUGAUGUUGAUGUUGUGCCAAGGCCCGAGGUUUGUUCCUUUUCUGAUUAUUGAAAGUCGGACACGCAUAAGGAGGAUGGCUCCCUUUACAACGCCAACAACUCACUUGAGAGGAGGUGCUAGGUCGUGUAGUGGUUACAGACUGUGGUGGUGGAGAGGGUGUCUGUGUUGGUUCUCCUUUUUCCUUCAGUUUGCUCCCCUGCUUCUUCCGCAGGUCAUAUUGUGUCUGGCUCAGUUUGUCCUUCUCCAGCUGCUGCCCCAAUCUGACCAAUUCCUCCACUGUUUCCACCCUGCCUCGCAGUUGGCUGGCCAUACGGGGAUUGAUGUUCCUGAGGAUGAGUUUAAUGACAGCCUCCUCUGCAAUGUCAGGCCUCCAGCGACAGCAUAAUGAAUGAUACAGGUAAGCAAAGUCUCUUAUGCUCUCAUCCUCUCCUUGAACCCGUGUCCGCACUCUUUCUCCCAGCUCAUCCUCAUAGUCCUCAGACAGGAAAGCAGAAAGGAACUUGGACUGGAAGUCUUUCCAUGAAUGAGUAGUUGCACGAGUCACAUCCCACCAAUCCCUCGCAGUACCAAACAAGACAUUCCUGAAAGUCACCAUCAGUUCCCCAUCAGUCAGCAGAUUGAGAGCCAAGAAAUCUUUACAUCUGUCCAAGUACAACAGAGGGUCAGGUUUGCCCUCCAUCCUGCCAAAGGUAGGAAACUGCAGUUUAAGAGGACAUUUCCCCAUGAAACGGCGGCCCAAAUCCCCUGAAAUGGGAGAAUCAUCUGGUGAACACGGCGGACUCUCCAACACUCCUGCAUGCAUUGUCGACUGCAGCCGAUGCCGCUGGGGAAGCGCCGCCUGAUCACUACCAGGACUAGUUUGAACCGAGGCAUCGGCUAGUGCUGACACACGGAGACUCUGUGUUCUCAUGGUGGACAUUUCACCCACCAUCCCCUCCAAAUGUUGGGAGCACUUCCAGACCUCAAACUGUAAGUGCGUGAUAUUCUGUAACACAGGGCUUAGGGUUUCCUUCAUCGCCUUUAAUAGGUCUGCAUGGUGGCUUUGCAAGCGCCAGUUCAAUGUAACCGAGUACUGUUCGCGUACAUAAUUGAACUGUUUAUCCAUGGCCGAUCUCAACUGCUGCAGUUGCUCAUCAUAGUAUGUAGUAAGAUCUUUUGUUACAACACCUAGAGCAAGCUUGAGUUCAUCCUUAUGGUUGCUCUGUGCCUCUGAAAGGGACUGGAAUCCUUCCUGGAUGCUUAUAUGCAAAGAUUCCUGGGCCAAGUGCUUGAGCCCUGACCCAGUGGUGGCCUCCGAUGAAGCAGCACCACCUUGCGGCAGAGCGAGCAAAGGUCCUGUUUUGUGAGCCUCAGAGGGGAAGUUCAAGAUAUCCUCCAGAGCUGAAGCCAUCCUUUGUACUGAGACGCAAACACAACCCACAACCAAUAAUGAUUGUUUGCAGUUUUUUUUGUUUUGUUUGUUUUUUUGUUUUUUUUUAGUAUUUUAGGGUUCUUUUAACAUUGGGCGCCAUUUAUUUAUGUAGCGGUUUGGACAAUUUGAAUUACCCUCAACCCCACAAAGGAUACAUGGUUAACUCAUGACCCUAAAAAAAAUGCUUUCAAAAGACCUUCUGGUAUUGUAUAAACAAACACAAAAUGAACACUUAAAUAAAGUUAAUAGGGCCAAGCACACCACCAUUUGAAUUUCACAAAAUUAUAUUAGAGCACUCACACAAAAAAACAAAACUCUUCAACAAAUCAGUCCAGGUCCAUAAACAAAAAUAGUGCUCCGUUCCGGGUUUUCCUGUUUCUGAAUAUAGUUCAGUUUCAAACAGUCCAGUUCUCAAACAAAAAUAAUCCGCCUCGGGUUUUCCCGGAAUUCCAAACAAAACUAAAAAUAAGGAAGUCAGUUCAGCUCUUCACCGUCCUACCAACCCCAAAAGCCCAGUCAAAAAAGAAAAGAAAAGAUAACGAAAAGAGCACAGUGAAGUCAUCCGGCUUUAGCCGCCUCACGGUUCAGGGGAAGUGUGGAAACGUGCGUUGUCCGGAGUUGUAAACACGGACGGUUCGGUGUGUUCGUGGAGAUAAGAAGAGAGGCUGCAGUAUCCACGCCUCGAGGGCAACCAAGGUGGAUGUUAACGACGCGGACUGAAACGCGCGCUGAUGGCCAAGGAUAGGCUUACUACGGACAUGGAUGACUCACGAGGGUUUCUCUCCUGCUGUUCACCUGCCGGCGACUCCCGCCAAACUGAAUUAAAUCUCCUGGUACGAAAAACGGAAGAGGCUGGACUCCGAGGGAGUGGCAACGUGGAGCUAACUCACUGGCUGACUGGACUAGUGGGGUGUGGAAGGAGAGACCUAAAAAAUCUUGAAGAAGAGCGAGAGAAGAUUGCCCAAGAGAUGAGAAAAACAACCCCAAACCUGGCCUUCAUUGAUGAUGCAAUGAAUGCCACAUAUGCAUUGAAAAGACAGGAGAUUGUUGAAGAGGAGCCAUCUGUGUCUGAAAUGAAAGUCAGAUAGCCUGCGCUUUUUACUGAAAGACAGAUCAUCAAGGCUGAUGUCAAUACAUCUCAACUCUUCCUAUGAGGGUCUGGACAGUCAUCUGCUCAAACUCUGUCAGUUGUUCAGCUCAAAGCACUACAAGGGGAAUACAAGAAAUGACACCCCUGCUGGAGAGCCUUGACAAA